RNAcentral lists this long non-coding RNA (2289 nucleotides) under Gossypium raimondii (Peruvian cotton). RNAcentral's name for it is "long non-coding RNA (GRAI_LNC003019)". Lineage: Eukaryota; Viridiplantae; Streptophyta; Magnoliopsida; Malvales; Malvaceae. The record is from RNAcentral.
UGACACUGAUUUCACCUUUCUCGAGCAUGUCGUAGAAUGCUCUCACUUUCCUCUGCUCAUUCCAGUGAUGCAUCUUCCAAAGCCCACCGGCACAAAGGCCAAGUGUUAUUCCGAUAACUAUCUCCUUAACAACACUUGGUCCUUUCAAGGUAGCAUGAGCAACCCUGGAACCAGCCAUUUCGCUUCUAUAGUUGAAUCUAGUAAAAUCCAGAAGCAAGAAUCUAACAUUUUAUUUUCAAUUCUACUUAUGGAGAGGAAUACAGGAACACCACGGUUAUAUAUAAUUUAACAAGCAAAUCAAUUGAUAAACCAGGCAUGAAAGCAGCAAAGGCAAUGAAUGUUCAUAAACCUAAUAAUAACAAUAUGAAGCAAUUCAUGAAAAUUUAUGUACUAUAACUAGCAAUUUAGCCCAUUCCAAUCGGCACAGAGAGGAAAGAUGUAGGACAAAUGCAGAAUUGUUCUCAAAUAUUGCUUCCUUUCAGUUUUCACUCAAAAUGGCUAUAUACAUCUUGUUCUGGGAUCAAUAAAGCUUGCAUUUGCAUGUUACGUUAAAAACAAUUUCAUGCUGAAUUCCAUAAGGGAGAUGUAACUACUUCCAGUAAAACUUUAGCACUUGUGUUAUGCUCUUGGGAUUAUAUCAACUCAUCCAUUGUUAAUGGUUUCCAUGUCAAAUAUCAAUGAAGCCUAACCUUAAUACCUUUACUAUUUGCCAAUGUAACAAAUCAACACCUUCAUUUAAUUCAUUUUCUUGGUUCAAUUCAAUAGCAAUUCUACUUUACAGAAUUCAUGCUCUCUUAUGUCUAAGCAUUCGAACAAAAGACAUGGUAACUCACGGUUUCUGCUAUCUUAGCUUGUCAAGAAACAAAUUUAUAAUACGUUCCAAUCAAUCAAGCAACCCAGCCAACCCAUUCAACUCAUUCAUCAUUUAAGGCUUUACACAUCAAAUUCGUCAAUGGAGCCUCACCUGAACACUUUUCCUAUACCACACCUUCAGUUAUUCAUUUCCUUGGAUAAAUUCAAAAGCAAUUUUACGUUGCACUCUUCAUGCCAUCUCUUAUUUCUAAGAAUUCAAAUUAUAGAGACAGAUUUCCAGUCUCCUAGCUUGUUGAGAAACAAAUUUACAAUACUUGGUCCUUUAAAGGUAGCAUGAGCAACCCUAGAACCAGCAUUUCGCUUCUACAGUUGCAUCUAGUAAAACCCAAAAGCAAGAACUAAACAUUUCAUUUUCCAACUCUACUUAUGGAGGAAUAUUGGAAAACCAUGAUUAUAUAUAAAUUUAAAAAGCAGAUCAUUUUACAAACCAGAUAUGCAAGCAGCAGAGGCAACAAACGUUCAUAAACCUAAUAGUAACAAUAUAAAGCAAUUCAUGAAAAUUAUGUACUAUAACUAGCAAUUUAGCCCAUUUCAGGAAAGAUGUACUGCAAAUCAAUAAUCGUUCUCAAAUAUUGCCUCCUUUCACUCAAAAAGGCUAUAUAAUCUACACUGCUUAUAUAUCUUUUUGUUCUGGACACAAUAAAGGUUGCAUUUGCAUCUUAUGUAUGUUAAUAACAAUUUCAUGCGAGUUCCAUAUGAGAGCCUUAACUAUUUCCAGUAAAACUUUAGCACUUGAGUUAUGCUUUUGGGAUGAUAUCAACUCAUUCAUUCUUAAUGGUUUACAUGUCAAACACCAAAGGAACCUAACCUUAUUACCUUUCCUAUUCACCAAUGUGAGAAAUCAACACCUUCAUUUGAUUCAUUUUCUUGGCUCCAUUAGCAGUUAUACAUUCAUAAUUGAAUAGCAAUUUUACAUUGCAGAAUUCAUUCUAUCUCUUAUGUCUAAGCACUCAAAUAAAAGACAUGGUAACUCAAGGUUUCCGCUGUCUUAGCUUGUCAGGAAACAAAAUUAUAAUACUUUUCAAUCAAUCAAGUAACCAAGCCUAACCCCUUCAACUCAUUCAUUGUUCAAAGCUUUACGGGUCAAAUUUCGACAAAGCCUCGCCUUAAUACCUUUCCUAUAUCACACCUUCAAUUAUUCAUUUUUCUUGGUUCAAUUCAAAAGCAGUUUUACGUUGCCUAAUUCAUGCUAUCUCUUAUGUCUAAGCAAUCAAAUUAUGCACACAGAUUUCCAGUCUCAUAGCGUGUCAGUAAACAAAUUUACAACAUUUGUCAAUCAAUGAAGCAAAACAGCCCCUACAAAAUUAGAAAACAAAAGCUGCCGUGAUUUAUGAAAGAAUUAAAUCGAAAAUUACGUUUUCAUCUAUCACUACAAGUAAAAAAGAAUAUAUUUUCCAACAGUUGUUUCGAUUCUCG